CCUACGGGAGGCAGCAGUGGGGAAUUUUGGACAAUGGGCGCAAGCCUGAUCCAGCCAUGCCGCGUGAGUGAAGAAGGCCUUCGGGUUGUAAAGCUCUUUCGGCAGGAACGAAAUGGUUCGUGCUAAUACCACGGACUGAUGACGGUACCUGAAGAAGAAGCACCGGCUAACUACGUGCCAGCAGCCGCGGUAAUACGUAGGGUGCAGGCGUUAAUCGGAAUUACUGGGCGUAAAGCGUGCGCAGGCGGUUUCUUAAGUCAGAUGUGAAAGCCCCGGGCUUAACCUGGGAACUGCGUUUGAAACUGGGAGACUUGAGUGUGGCAGAGGGGGGUGGAAUUCCACGUGUAGCAGUGAAAUGCGUAGAUAUGUGGAGGAACACCGAUGGCGAAGGCAGCCCCCUGGGCUAACACUGACGCUCAUGCACGAAAGCGUGGGGAGCAAACAGGAUUAGAUACCCUGGUAGUCCACGCCCUAAACUAUGUCAACUGGUUGUCGGGAGAUUAACUCUCUUGGUAACGAAGCUAACGCGUGAAGUUGACCGCCUGGGGAGGACGGCGCGAGUAACGUACGAAGAAGUAGAGNGNGAGACGUGCGACGACGACGACGAGGGAGAGG
This 615-nucleotide ribosomal RNA is filed under the name uncultured bacterium. RNAcentral's name for it is "bacterial SSU rRNA". The stretch from base 1 to 543 matches the Rfam family "Bacterial small subunit ribosomal RNA", at positions 338 to 873 of the family's 1533-position model. The record is from RNAcentral.